Pseudophryne corroboree (corroboree frog) is the source of this 801-nucleotide long non-coding RNA. RefSeq lists it as uncharacterized. Lineage: Eukaryota; Metazoa; Chordata; Amphibia; Anura; Myobatrachidae. The transcript is spliced from 3 exons. The record is from RefSeq and is a predicted model, not a curated record.
CAGAAAACAUGAACUGUAUGUAGUUCUGAGGACUGAGUUUGAGAACUUUUGCUACAGAUGUGAUAAUGACAGCACUACAGGUCUCCAGAUGGAAUUGCAAUAUUCACAUUAGCACAUGAAGAAGUGAGGAAGUCCCAAGGCAUUGUGGGACGAAACGCGUUUAUGCCACGCUCCUGAAGUACCCUUGCACUGGUGUACCAUUACGGGAAUCAUCACAUUGAAUUACCGCUUGUCACUAUCCCACUGCAGUAUCCAUUGAGUGAGGUGCCGUGCCCCUGCAGCCGCAGACUACUACAUCACUGCCGUCAUUGGGCUGUUAACAAACGGAGCGAACGGAGCCUUCCUGAUGAGCGCACUAUACAUGUGAUCUAUCUCACCUCUCUGGACAUCUUACCCCAGUACACAUCACCCGGGGCGGUGACAGCCUCAUCACCGGGUGAGAAGGGAUAAAGACGCUAUUUAAACAAAAGGGAACAGCGGUAACUAUACAGCAGUGUUUAUACUACCUGUUUGAAAUUUAUACAUUGUAGCCGGGACGCCGGCAUACAAAGUAAUCAUACCCUGUGUGGACCAGGUGCAAAGGACAUAUUGCUACAGUUGCUAUAUACUGCUUAUCAAGAACUUUAGCAACCUAACUGUUGCAUAUACAUUUAGAGGAUAAAUCAAUAAUAAAUUAACAAUAUAAUAAGUCACAUGAUGAUCAGGAAAAUCUCCUCUUGUUCUUGAUUUGAAAGCUAUGCAUGCAUAUUAGAUUAGGAUUUUAGUUUUUGUUUUUAACAUGUAUUAUGAAAUAAAUUUAUU